UACAGAGGGUGCGAGCGUUGUCCGGAAUCACUGGGCGUAAAGGGCGCGUAGGCGGUUUUUCAAGCGUGCGGUGAAAGCUCAGGGCUCAACCCUGAGUCGGCCGUGCGAACUGGAAGACUGGAGCACGGUAGAGGCACAUGGAAUUCCGGGUGUAGCGGUGGAAUGCGUAGAGAUCCGGAGGAACACCGGUGGCGAAGGCGGGUCUCUGGGCCGAUACUGACGCUGAGGAGCGAAAGCGUGGGGAGCGAACAGG
RNAcentral lists this ribosomal RNA (253 nucleotides) under uncultured bacterium. Its description in RNAcentral is "partial 16S ribosomal RNA". It matches the Rfam family "Bacterial small subunit ribosomal RNA", at positions 524 to 776 of the family's 1533-position model. The record is from RNAcentral.